GAUGAAGAACGCAGCGAAAUGCGAUAAGUAAUGUGAAUUGCAGAAUUCAGUGAAUCAUCGAAUCUUUGAACGCACCUUGCGCCCUUUGGCCAUUCCGAAGGGCAUGCCUGUUUGAGUAUCAUGAACACCUCAACUCUUCAUGGUUUUCCGUGAUGAGCUUGGACUUUGGGGGUCUUGCUGGCCUAUGGUCAGCUCCUCUAAAAUAAAUCAGCUUGCCAGUGUUUGGUGGGUAUCACAGGUGUGAUAACUAUCUACGCUUGUGGUUUUCCACCAGGUAACCUUCAGCAGUGGAGGUUCGCUGGAGCUCACAGAUGUGUCUCUCCUCAGUGAGGACAGCACUUUGAAUGUUUGAUCUCAAAUCAGGUAGGACUACCCGCUGAACUUAAGCAUAUCAAUAAGCGGAGGA
This 406-nucleotide unclassified non-coding RNA is filed under the name soil metagenome. RNAcentral's name for it is "partial contains 5.8S ribosomal RNA, internal transcribed spacer 2, and large subunit ribosomal RNA". The stretch from base 1 to 121 matches the Rfam family "5.8S ribosomal RNA", at positions 35 to 154 of the family's 154-position model. The record is from RNAcentral.